Molecule: long non-coding RNA, 2052 nt
Filed under: Nicotiana tabacum (common tobacco)
Lineage: Eukaryota; Viridiplantae; Streptophyta; Magnoliopsida; Solanales; Solanaceae
Description: long non-coding RNA (NTAB_LNC001331)
Source: RNAcentral
GGGGAGGGGGGUUGGUGAACAGAAGUGUGCUAGUAAAUUCUUUAUUUUACGGCCAAACGUGAGACUUCGCCACGCAAAAUCUAUUUUAGUUAACCCAAAUACGAUUGUUCGACACCGAAUGAAAAAAUGAAAAACAAAUCUAACGCGAAGAGCUGACAGGCGACAACAACUAGUGGGCGGUGCCUCUGCAGCUACCCUACUGAUCAGCAAUAAGUUACAUGCCGCAAAGUGGCGGUGGCUGAGUAGGAAUAUAUGAAUAUGAUUACACGUGCAUGCAAGCAGGUAUGUAAAAUGAAACCGACAAAUCGCAUCAACUCAAUAAUUCGAAUCAAAUUGAGAAAAAAAGUCCGACUAUAAUUUAAUUUGAUUGGUUUGGUGAUGAAAAAAAAAAACCCGACGAUAUUUGGUUUGGUAUGGUUUUAACUAAAAAUAGUCAAACCAAAACUAAAUCAACCCGAUAUUAUAUGUAUAAAAUUUUUAAAUAUAUUUAAUACAUAAAAAUAUUUAUUAUAGUGUAGUUUAUAAAUAUUUCUUAAAUUUUUUUAUAAUUUUAUAUUUUAACGUAUUAUUUCAAGCUUGGGCUUAUAAUUUUUGGAUGCUCCAAUAAGUUUUAUAGUCCAUAAAUGUUAGUAACUCAAAUAAAUCCUAAACCAAAAUCAAAUUAAUACUAAUGAUAAUAAAAGAUAUUCAAUUCAAUUGUACUAUGAAUGAAAAUAGUGUUGAAUAUCUAUUUUUUUAAUUUUUCCAUGGUUUAAAUAAAAUGCAUAACUUAUUAUUUUUUAGUGUUUAGUCAUGUAAAUAAUAAGUAGUACUUAUUAGUCGUACUUAUUUUAGCAACUUAUUAGUAAUUUUAAAUUAUGUUUGUUUUUAUUAUGGCUUGUUAAUUAUAUUUAUUUUAUGCGAUUUACUCAUCUUAAUUGUUGAAUAUUUUAGUACAAUAUCAUGAAUCAUCUCAUAUUUAUGUUAUUUUAUUUAAAAAAUACCUUAUAUAGUUCUGUCUUACUAGGAUUACAGAAAUAUUUGAACCACAAAUUCUAUGUUUUGUGCUAUAGAGACUUUAUGAUAAAAAAACUCGAAACAAUCUGAAAACCCGAAAAACUCGAGAAAAAACGAGAUUUAAAACCCGACUUUUAUUUGUUUGGUUUGGUCUUUAGAUUUAAUAAUCCGAUAUACUUGAUUUGGUUUGGUAAUUAAAAAAUUCGAACCAACCCGACAUAUUUAAACCAGUGCAAGUCUCAACAAAUUAAAUGGGGUCCCCCACAAUUUUCCUUUUACAGAAAUAUACUGGCAAAAAGGUCUCCCCAAUUUUGUGCCUACGAAAUCGAUGUCCACAUCCAGCUGCAGUACAACGCUCCAGCUCCUAUGCAUUAUUGUCCCCACCAUUUCCUUUUUAUAGAAAUAUAAGCAACAUGCCAACCUACCAUUGGCUCAAUAAAUUGAUACUUGCAGAUAUUAGCAGAGAUUCCACCACCCAUUGUGGGAAAAAGUUGAAAAACAAUAUAUUCAAUGAAAUUCACAAUCUCUGAUUGGUCUACAUCUCUUCUUUGUGAAAAUUAUUUUUUCAUAUUUGAAAAUAAUUUAUUUUUAUGUAAUAAUUUAUAACCACACAAAAUAUAUAUAUCUCAUUUUACACCACAAGUUUAAAUUUUUUUUUUUUUUUUUCUAAACUUUAUGCUCAGUCAAAAUAGACUCACAUAAAUUAUACCGAGGGAGUAUAUCCAACGUACAUUGAUAAGGCAGCAAUAAAAGGUUUGCACAUAUCCUACAUGAUCAGAUUUACAAACAGACCGACACAUAUGCAGAUAUGGAUCUUUGUUUAUGUAUUUUGAGGUGUGAGGAUUACAUUUGUUAGAUUUUGUCCCAAAUCCUUUUUGGCCGAGCUGCAAAAUCGGCUUCUUUUGAGAAUAAUUUUUUUUAAAAGUAUUUUUCGAAAAAGUACUUUUAAAGAAAAAUAGUUUGUGUUUGACAAAUCAAUUUGAAAAGUACUUUUGAACAAUAAUUUAUGUUUGACCAAACUUUUCAAAAAAUACUUUUUUAAGUGUCAAAUUACAA